This is a long non-coding RNA of Penaeus monodon (black tiger shrimp), 2053 nucleotides long. RefSeq lists it as uncharacterized. The transcript is spliced from 3 exons. The record is from RefSeq and is a predicted model, not a curated record. Lineage: Eukaryota; Metazoa; Arthropoda; Malacostraca; Decapoda; Penaeidae.
GCCAUAUAAUAAGAAGAACAAGAAUUAAUCACUUAGUAAACUUGGCUUCAAGAGUAUUCUUCCAUUUCUGUAUUAACGGGAAAAAGUGUGAUUUUCAAUAGUCACAGAAAACCACUCUAAUUAGGAUUGAGUAUUUACAUUGUUGUAGUGAAAAAAAUAUGUAUGGCACCUUUUGCCAUGUGAAUACUGAUUUCUUUCAAAAUUCAAUUAUAGCUUGUAAAAACAUAAUUAAUUGCUUUUCUAUAAUGUCGAUUCACAGCCCAACACAAAAGGUGUUGUGUGGGAGAAAGUUAUGUAUAAAAAAAAGAAAAAAAGAAAAAAGAAAAGAAAAAAAAUAUAUAUAUAACACAUAUUAUUGCUGAAACUAUUUUUAUGUUCUGUUUUGUCACGUUUACAUGCAUAACAGAAGUGUUGUUAAUAACACUGAACGCGUGAGAGUAUAUUCGUCCCAUAGCUUUAUCAUGUAACUACGCCAUAUCUAUACACAAAAUGACAAUAACGACAACAACGUGAUUUUUCAUGAUCCGACCAACUCAUCUGCAUAGUUGAGUAUCAUGCUCAUUGGGGAAUAAAGUGCAGUGCAGACACUAAAUAAUAUCAGGAUCAUCAGGUGAUUACCCGAGUUCCCGCCCCCUGUUUUGCUGUUUUCAUGCCCUGUUCAAUCGUCGUGGUGUAAAAGUGCGUGUUGAAUUCAAAUAUAGAAAGCAGUUGAAGUAGCCUCUUUAGAUUAUUUUUCGGAUCUCUAUCGCCGAGUCUCGAGAGGCAGUGGGCAUUCAACGCCUAUUAUUACGCAUGCAAACGAGCUAUAAGCCAUAAUACAGAGAGUUUGUUGGAAAAAACGCCACCCUUUUGAAUCGUGUUUCAACAAAACUUUCGAAAGCUGCUCUGCCAGGGUGUGUCCCGCACUUGUCGGCCAUUUUGAAUCUUGGUCACGUAGCCAGCUAGGCUGUCACCAUGACUAUCUUAAGCAGUAUAUUAUCAGCUUCUUUAAUAGAAGGACUUGGUUUCUUUAUUGCAUGGAUUCUGCGCAAAAACACUCUCGAUAGCACGCUCUCACAUAUAGGCGUAAUUCCGUGGGCUGAAAACCGUUAGCUUUGGCCUCAUUCAAAAUUCAAACAGCAACGAACGUUAAAGGCGUUAGCGGACGACGACCAGCUUGACGCUUCCCCGGCGAGGCAGCUCCAACGGUCUCUGCAGCCGAACUUCUUGUCUUUGUUUACUUGAUUCUGUGACAAGGAGUCUGUGCCCGGGGCCGCUUCUGCCAGAUGAUGGUCGAGGGAGAGCGAGGAGAUGCAGCGCCCCCCCCCCCCCCUUCGCCCUGGAGAGGAGCUCCUCGAGGGGUGAGGCCUCUGGCUUACCUUCGGCCUUAUUCGAAGGACAAGCGGAGAGGCUUCGUCACCCUAAUGCACUUACCUGUAUUUAUAACAGAACACACGCAGACAUAUUCACAGCACUCAGCCUCCGCCGUGUCUCCCAACGAGAGCGAAAUCUCACAGCGCAGUGCCGGUCCUUAAAAGUCUCCUGACGGCAGUAGAGGAUCCCGCCAGCGACCUUGAUCACCGGCCUGUGUUACGACCCAUCAUCAUAAAGGCAAUGAUAAAAAGAAGUGCAGUCCAACUCAACACAUUCACUUACACCUUGUCUCAUUAAGUCUCGUUGUAAGCCCAGCCACUCCCAGGUCUCCCGUGGUGGCAGCACCCUAAAAAUAUUACAGUGUAUUACAUCACACGAAAUCUUCACGCCUAAUUUUUUUUUUUCAUUGUUAUUUAGCGAAGGCGAGAGUAGUGGAUUCUCGAGAGGUUUUUACCUCAACGUCGUCAAGAUACUUAAGAAAAUGUUAAUUGCUUUGCUUCGUUAAGCUAGAAAAGGGAGGAAGUUUUAUUUAGUAUCCUUGUGAAGACAGCUCAAGAGAAAUAAGCAUGAUUUAUCGAGCAUAACGCAUGCUGUGUGAUGUUGACUGCGACUGUGUGUCCAACUCUACAUAUAAAUGUUCCCAUAAAUUUAACAAUAAUAUAAUUAUAUCUGUAUGUGCAAUUAUAAUUUUGUUUCUCUU